RNAcentral lists this ribosomal RNA (229 nucleotides) under uncultured bacterium. Its description in RNAcentral is "partial 16S ribosomal RNA". It matches the Rfam family "Bacterial small subunit ribosomal RNA", at positions 568 to 796 of the family's 1533-position model. The record is from RNAcentral.
UGCGUAGGCGGACUAAUAAGUCAGUGGUGAAAUCUUUCGGCUCAACCGGGAAACUGCCAUUGAUACUGUUAGUCUUGAGUUCGGUUGAGGUAGGCGGAAUGUGUAAUGUAGCGGUGAAAUGCUUAGAUAUUACACAGAACACCAACUGCGUAGGCAGCUUACUAGACCGACACUGACGCUGAGGCACGAAAGCGUGGGGAGCGAACAGGAUUAGAUACCCUGGUAGUCC